RNAcentral lists this ribosomal RNA (315 nucleotides) under uncultured eukaryote. RNAcentral's name for it is "partial 18S ribosomal RNA". It matches the Rfam family "Eukaryotic small subunit ribosomal RNA", at positions 1470 to 1796 of the family's 1831-position model. The record is from RNAcentral.
CCCUUAGACGUUCUGGGCCGCACGCGCGCUACACUGACCAGUGCAACAAGCAUCCGUCCUUGGCCGACAGGCCCGGGCAAUCUUUGAACGCUGGUCGUGAUGGGGAUAGACUUUUGCAAUUUUUGGUCUUCAACGAGGAAUUCCUAGUAAACGCAAGUCAUCAACUUGCAUUGAUUACGUCCCUGCCCUUUGUACACACCGCCCGUCGCACCUACCGAUUGAAUGGUCCGGUGAAGCCUCCGGAUUGGCGCGCACCUCGGUGCCGCCGAGAAGUUGGCUAAACCUNANCAUUUANAGGAAGGUGANGUCGUNACA